Molecule: transfer RNA, 71 nt
Filed under: Tumebacillus flagellatus
Lineage: Bacteria; Bacillati; Bacillota; Bacilli; Caryophanales; Alicyclobacillaceae
Rfam family: tRNA
About the family: Transfer RNA (tRNA) molecules are approximately 80 nucleotides in length.
Source: Rfam by way of RNAcentral
GCGGUCAUAGCCAAGCGGUAAGGCAUCGGCCUUCCAAGUCGACAUCGCGGGUUCGAUCCCCGCUGGCCGCU